Small nucleolar RNA from Suncus etruscus (white-toothed pygmy shrew), 133 nucleotides. RefSeq annotates it as small nucleolar RNA SNORA51. Lineage: Eukaryota; Metazoa; Chordata; Mammalia; Eulipotyphla; Soricidae. The record is from RefSeq and is a predicted model, not a curated record. The transcript has a single exon.
GGCCUCCCAAUGCUUACCACAAGCUGUGUUCUCUACACUGACUGUAUAGAAAGUGGAGGUACAGUGAAUGCUCCCCAUAUACACCUCAGACAAGACCCUUUGCCAGGUCUGUAUUGUGAAUGGGGAGACAAAA